This 240-nucleotide ribosomal RNA is filed under the name uncultured bacterium. RNAcentral's name for it is "partial 16S ribosomal RNA". It matches the Rfam family "Bacterial small subunit ribosomal RNA", at positions 100 to 334 of the family's 1533-position model. The record is from RNAcentral.
CGGCACGGGUGAGUAACACGUAUGCAAUCCACCUGUAACAGGGGGAUAACCCGGAGAAAUCCGGACUAAUACCCCAUAAUAUGGGCGCUCCGCAUGGAGAGCCCAUUAAAGAGAGCAAUUUUGGUUACAGACGAGCAUGCGCUCCAUUAGCCAGUUGGCGGGGUAACGGCCCACCAAAGCGACGAUGGAUAGGGGUUCUGAGAGGAGGGUCCCCCACAUUGGAACUGAGACACGGUCCAA